ACUAAAUCAAUUUACAUGGAACUGUUCUAAUUUGGAAGGUGCUAGUUUUCCGGCUUAUUCCAAAGAGGAACAUAGACUUAAUAGACGCGAUCUAUAUGAUAUACCAACAAGGUUUUACUCAUGUGGAACAGUAAUAACAGGCCUCUGUCACUCGACGUACUUGCGCGCGAUAAAUGCCUACCGCUCGCUGGGUUACCGGUAGCCCCACGCGGCUCAGGGCGCACAACAGUCACACGCGCCGCGUGCGCUCCAAUAUUAUUAUUUUUAUUUCGCGGCAUGUUAUGCUGUUGGUUUUUAUUAGGUUUUUUUAAGCUACCUCACAAACUGAUGGAUUAUUUUGAGUUAUGUUGGUUUAUAUGCGACUAUUGUAAGAUUUAGAAACAUUUUAUAUGUAUGAGCUUAUCUAGUAAUUCUAUUUUUUUUAAAUAAAUUAAUACUUAUCUACUUUAUGAUUUUAACAACAGAGAUCAUUAGGUACUUAUUUUACUUUAGAUACCUACUUAGUUAUAUGAACUAAACUAGCUUUUGCCCGCAACUUCGUUCGCGUGGAAUAGUGACUACCAGCAGAUUUUUGAUUUGACCAAUAGAUGGCGCUAUAUGUCCGGAAUAAUUUUAUUUUUAUU
Molecule: long non-coding RNA, 623 nt
Organism: Helicoverpa armigera (cotton bollworm)
Lineage: Eukaryota; Metazoa; Arthropoda; Insecta; Lepidoptera; Noctuidae
Exons: 2
Source: RefSeq, a predicted model, not a curated record